Zootermopsis nevadensis is the source of this 877-nucleotide long non-coding RNA. RefSeq lists it as uncharacterized. The record is from RefSeq and is a predicted model, not a curated record. Lineage: Eukaryota; Metazoa; Arthropoda; Insecta; Blattodea; Termopsidae.
AAUAUGCCAUAAUCACUUCCUCUUUUACUUGUGAGCUCACCAUUUACAAUACUUCUCUCAUAACUCAUUUGAAGCUUCACAAUUGUCAUAGCAACACUGAAUAAACAAGUAACAACAAUUAUUACAAUUUAUUAUUCUGUGCAACAGUUACCCUCGCAUCUGGCAUCUGUUUGAAGAAGAAAAAGGCUUUGCCGCAUCUUGUUCCCACGGUGUUGCAUCGUGUGAGAAAUUGAAGAAAGAUUGAUCCACUACUACUUACUCGUAGUACUUCAACCUCUAUUUUGUUACCCUAUUACAUCUGCGCUUCAAAACCGCACUAACAGGCAACGGUGUCUGUGAUGGGUUCUGCUGUGAAUGUUCAUACUUCCUGCAAUAUCGAGAUACGCUAAUUGGCUUGCUUGCUAACAAGGCAUUUCAAUGCACCGCUUUGUUAUAACUCUCUGCAUUCGUCUCCAUCUUUCCACCCCUCUUCCAACCUAAAAUCCUCUCAGUUACCGCAAUGGACGCGCGCGGCAUUGUAUAGGGAAACAUGACGUUAAAGCAGGUAUAAUGAUGUGAAUUAUUCCAUCUGAAAUUGAAAAUCAUUUGGAAGAUGCUGACAGCGUGAGAAAGAGACAGGUUUUAUAACAGGGGGAUAUGGUAUUUUAAGAGGUGAUAUAAUUGUUAAAACCAACAACAUACUGAAGAAAGGUGCUCUCAUUUCAAAGUAUAUAACACUUGAACAACCCAUUGACUCCUUAGGGAUGACAGCAAACCAGUCCUGAUUAAAUCCUGCCAGAAGAGGGCACUGACCCUUAUUUCCAGAUCAUAUAUAAAAAAGUGUUCAACCAAGUUCAAAUAGUUGCAUUGAUUGAAAUUAAAAAAUUAUCUCAUUUCA